UGGUGGAGUGAUUUGUCUGGUUAAUUCCGUUAACGAACGAGACCUCGACCUGCUAAAUAGUUUGGCGAACUCUUCGGGUUUGACUAUAACUUCUUAGAGGGACUAUCGGUGGUUAGCCGACGGAAGUUCGAGGCAAUAACA
This 141-nucleotide ribosomal RNA is filed under the name uncultured eukaryote. RNAcentral's name for it is "partial 18S ribosomal RNA". It matches the Rfam family "Eukaryotic small subunit ribosomal RNA", at positions 1299 to 1458 of the family's 1831-position model. The record is from RNAcentral.